UACGGAGGGUGCAAGCGUUAAUCGGAAUUACUGGGCGUAAAGCGUGCGUAGGUGGUUCGUUAAGUCAGAUGUGAAAGCCCUGGGCUCAACCUGGGAACUGCAUUUGAAACUGGCGGACUAGAGUUUAGUAGAGGGGAGUGGAAUUUCAGGUGUAGCGGUGAAAUGCGUAGAUAUCUGAAGGAACACCAGUGGCGAAGGCGACUCCCUGGACUAAAACUGACGCUGAGGUACGAAAGCGUGGGUAGCAAACAGG
This 253-nucleotide ribosomal RNA is filed under the name uncultured Methylobacter sp. RNAcentral describes it as "partial 16S ribosomal RNA". It matches the Rfam family "Bacterial small subunit ribosomal RNA", at positions 524 to 776 of the family's 1533-position model. The record is from RNAcentral. Lineage: Bacteria; Pseudomonadati; Pseudomonadota; Gammaproteobacteria; Methylococcales; Methylococcaceae.